CCUACGGGCGGCAGCAGUGGGGAAUAUUGCACAAUGGGGGAAACCCUGAUGCAGCGACGCCGCGUGAGUGAAGAAGUAUUUCGGUAUGUAAAGCUCUAUCAGCAGGGAAGAAAAUGACGGUACCUGACUAAGAAGCCCCGGCUAACUACGUGCCAGCAGCCGCGGUAAUACGUAGGGGGCAAGCGUUAUCCGGAUUUACUGGGUGUAAAGGGAGCGUAGACGGCCAGACAAGUCAGAAGUGAAAGCCCAGGGCUCAACCCUGGGACUGCUUUUGAAAAUGCCGGGCUAGAGUGCAGGAGAGGUAAGCGGAAUUCCUAGUGUAGCGGUGAAAUGCGUAGAGAUUAGGAGGAACACCAGUGGCGAAGGCGGCUUACUGGACUGUAACUGACGUUGAGGCUCGAAAGCGUGGGGAGCAAACAGGAUUAGAUACCCCUGUAGUC
RNAcentral lists this ribosomal RNA (440 nucleotides) under uncultured bacterium. Its description in RNAcentral is "partial 16S ribosomal RNA". It matches the Rfam family "Bacterial small subunit ribosomal RNA", at positions 338 to 795 of the family's 1533-position model. The record is from RNAcentral.